GGGGUAGUACUGGUUUCGACGGGGGUUUAGAAAUUAUGGCAGCCAUCCGAGGUGGGUGACCUCGUAAAAACAUCUAAAAAAAUAAACGCUGACAAUAGAUUAGCACUCGCUGCCUAAUGGCAGCUAUCAGCCUCGCGUCGUCCGUUGCGUGAGAGUCUGGUAUCGAACAGACGGAGCACUUCCUUGCCGAAGCUUGUAGGCUCGGGAAGAAUUACAAGCUACUGAAAUCAUAAGUCUGUGAGUGGACGUGUGGUAGAGGGAAUGUUAAAACACUUACUGUGAUGGGAGAUACUGUAAUGGAAGAGCUUUCGGACGCGGGUUCGAUUCCCGCCUGCUCCA
This 339-nucleotide transfer-messenger RNA is filed under the name uncultured Eubacterium sp. It matches the Rfam family "transfer-messenger RNA". From Rfam's summary of the family: Bacterial tmRNA, also known as 10Sa RNA or SsrA, is named for its dual tRNA and mRNA-like properties. Its role is to liberate the mRNA from a stalled ribosome. Lineage: Bacteria; Bacillati; Bacillota; Clostridia; Eubacteriales; Eubacteriaceae. The record is from RNAcentral.